UACGUAGGGGGCAAGCGUUGUUCGGAUUCAUUGGGCGUAAAGGGCGCGUAGGCGGCGGGGUAAGUCGGGUGUGAAAUCUCAGAGCUCAACUCUGAAAUGGCACUUGAUACUGCUCUGCUAGAGGACUGGAGAGGAGAUUGGAAUUCACGGUGUAGCAGUGAAAUGCGUAGAUAUCGUGAGGAAGACCGGUGGCGAAGGCGGAUCUCUGGACAGUUCCUGACGCUGAGGCGCGAAGGCCAGGGGAGCAAACGGG
This 253-nucleotide ribosomal RNA is filed under the name uncultured bacterium. RNAcentral describes it as "partial 16S ribosomal RNA". It matches the Rfam family "Bacterial small subunit ribosomal RNA", at positions 524 to 776 of the family's 1533-position model. The record is from RNAcentral.